This 115-nucleotide ribosomal RNA is filed under the name Rhododendron simsii. Lineage: Eukaryota; Viridiplantae; Streptophyta; Magnoliopsida; Ericales; Ericaceae. The record is from RNAcentral.
GCGAUCAUACCAGCACUAAUGCACCGGAUCCCAUCAGAACUCCGCAGUUAAGCGUGCUUGGGCGAGAGUAGUACUAGGAUGGGUGACCCCCUGGGAAGUCCUCGUGUUGCACUCC